CCUACGGGAGGCAGCAGUGAGGAAUAUUGGUCAAUGGCCGGAAGGCUGAACCAGCCAUGCCGCGUGAAGGUCAGUGCCCUAUGGGCGUUAAACUUCUUUUGUGCGGGAGCAAUAAUGGUCACGUGUGGCCAGACGAGAGUACCGUACGAAUAAGCAUCGGCUAACUCCGUGCCAGCAGCCGCGGUAAUAGGGGGGAUGCAAGCGUUAUCCGGAUUUAUUGGGGUUAAAGGGUGCGUAGGCUGUGAGGUAAGUCAGCGGUGAAAUGCCCCCACUAAACGGGGUGAAGUGCCAUUGAUACUGCCUUGCUGGAAUGCGGAUGCGGUGGGAGGAAUGUGUGGUGUAGCGGUGAAAUGCAUAGAGAUCACACAGAACACCGAUUGCGAAGGCAUCUCACGAAUCCGCGAUUGACGCUGAUGCACGAAAGCGUGGGUAUCAAACAGGAUUAGAUACCCCUGUAGUC
This 460-nucleotide ribosomal RNA is filed under the name uncultured bacterium. RNAcentral describes it as "partial 16S ribosomal RNA". It matches the Rfam family "Bacterial small subunit ribosomal RNA", at positions 338 to 795 of the family's 1533-position model. The record is from RNAcentral.